RNAcentral lists this long non-coding RNA (289 nucleotides) under Eutrema salsugineum. RNAcentral describes it as "long non-coding RNA (ESAL_LNC000888)". The record is from RNAcentral. Lineage: Eukaryota; Viridiplantae; Streptophyta; Magnoliopsida; Brassicales; Brassicaceae.
CGGGAUCUCCGGCGGCUUGGAGGCUUCAUGGAAAGGGGGCAACAACGAGGAAGCUUCACGGCGAGGAGGAGGAGCAGCGGCUCGGCAAAGAGAGAGAGAGAGAGAGAGAGAGAGAGAGAGAGAGAGAGAGAGAGAGAGAGAGAGAGAGAGAGAGAGAGAGAGAGAGAGAGAGAGAGAGAGAGAGAGAGAGAGAGAGAGAGAGAGAGAGAGAGAGAGAGAGAGAGAGAGAGAGAGAGCUCGACGAGGGGGGAGAAGAAGAAAGAGGAGGCUGGUGGCGCAGGAGAAGAGA